AGAGUUUGAUCCUGGCUCAGGAUGAACGCUGGCGGCGUGCCUAAUACAUGCAAGUCGAACGCUUUGUCUUUAAUUGAUAUGAAGAGCUUGCUCUGAUUUGAUUUUAUCUGACAAAGAGUGGCGAACGGGUGAGUAACACGUGGGUAACCUACCUCUUAGCAGGGGAUAACAUUUGGAAACAAGUGCUAAUACCGUAUAACACUAACAACCGCAUGGUUGUUAGUUGAAAGAUGGUUCUGCUAUCACUAAGAGAUGGACCCGCGGUGCAUUAGCUAGUUGGUAAGGUAAUGGCUUACCAAGGCGAUGAUGCGUAGCCGAGUUGAGAGACUGAUCGGCCACAAUGGGACUGAGACACGGCCCAUACUCCUACGGGAGGCAGCAGUAGGGAAUCUUCCACAAUGGGCGCAAGCCUGAUGGAGCAACGCCGCGUGUGUGAUGAAGGGUUUCGGCUCGUAAAACACUGUUAUAAGAGAAGAACGACAUUGAGAGUAACUGUUCAGUGUGUGACGGUAUCCUAUCAGAAAGGAACGGCUAAAUACGUGCCAGCAGCCGCGGUAAUACGUAUGUUCCAAGCGUUAUCCGGAUUUAUUGGGCGUAAAGCGAGCGCAGACGGUUAUUUAAGUCUGAAGUGAAAGCCCUCAGCUCAACUGAGGAAGGGCUUUGGAAACUGGAUAACUUGAGUGCAGUAGAGGAAAGUGGAACUCCAUGUGUAGCGGUGAAAUGCGUAGAUAUAUGGAAGAACACCGGUGGCGAAAGCGGCUUUCUGGACUGUAACUGACGUUGAGGCUCGAAAGUGUGGGUAGCAAACAGGAUUAGAUACCCUGGUAGUCCACACCGUAAACGAUGAGUGCUAGCAUGUUCGAGGGUUUCCGC
This 873-nucleotide ribosomal RNA is filed under the name uncultured bacterium. RNAcentral describes it as "bacterial SSU rRNA". It matches the Rfam family "Bacterial small subunit ribosomal RNA", at positions 8 to 839 of the family's 1533-position model. The record is from RNAcentral.